GCCCUGGGGCUGGCCUGGGCUUGCAGACCCGAGCCCUGCAGAACAGCCCCGGGGGCGCAGGCCAGCGGAAGAAAGAGGACCUUUAUGCCCUUUUGAGGGAAAAGCACAUUCUGCAGCGCUGUGGAAACAAAGAGAGGAACGGUUGUAGCCCUAGUCCAGACGUCCCAAACAAACAAUUCUCUGGCCCAUCAAAGGACGGUACAAUGACCUUCACGCGCCACCUGAAGUCCUGCCCUCUCUCUGCCAUAAGGAGUUUCAUUCUACGAAAGAAACCAAACAUCAGAAACAUGUCCGGCAUGGCUGGGGGGCUCCGACCAGCCAGCAUAGUGGCCCUGCACAGGUCCCUCGCCCCGGCCUUUGAAAAGUUCUGCCAGGCCAACAGUGGCCCUCUGCCCCUGCUGGGCCGAAGCGAGCCAGGCAAGUGGACGUUGCCUGCCCUGGGCGCUGUCUCAGACACCAGGAUGGACCGUCCCCAGUUCCGUAAGUAUGAGUUCGGUGCCUGCACGGGCAGCCUGACCUCGCUGGAGGAGUACUUGGAGCAGCUGAAGGACAUGGUGACCUUCUUCCUGGGCUGCAGCUUCUCCUUGGAAGGGGCCUUGGAGAAAGUGGGGCUCCUCGGAAGAGACCCAGCGGGCCACGGCCACGUGGGUGCAUACAAGACAACAGUGCCUUGCGCCACCAUUGCUGGCUUUUGCUGCCCUCUGGUGGUCACAAUGAGGCCCAUCCCCAAGGACAAGCUGGAAGGGCUGGUGCAGGCCAGUUGCUCCAUGAUGGGUGAGCAGGGACAACCCAUUCACAUCGGCGACCCAGAAAUGCUGGGAAUCCGAGAUCUCUCCAAACCUGACUACGGGCAUGCUGUGGUGUGUGAGCCAGGGGAGGUCCCGGUGUUCUGGCCUUCUCCGCUGACCAGUCUCGAAGCUGUCAGCAGCUACAAGACUCCGCUGGCUUUCACCAGCGCUCCAGGUUGCACCGUUAUGACCCACCUGGAGGAUCUGAAGGGUCCGGAGGCUCCAGCCAGUUGUCUCACCCCUGAGGGAAUUCCAGAGGUCGUUCCCAUUUCCCAAGAUCCUUUGCACUACAGCAUUGCAUCAGCUUCAGCCGUUCAGAAGAUCAGAGAGCUGGAGACUAUAAUUGGCAUAGACCCAGGCAACAGGGGGGUCGGGCACCUGCUCUGCAAAGAUGAGCUGCUGAGGGCCUCUCUGUCGCUGUCCCACGCCCGCUCCGUGCUCAUCACCACCGGCUUCCCCACGCAUUUCAACCACGAGCCUCCGGAAGAGACGGACGGGCCGCCGGGAGCCAUUGCUCUGGCCGCCUUCCUGCAGGCCUUGGAGAAGGGCGUCUCCUUGAUCGUUGACCAGAGGGCCUGGAGUUUGUUCCAGAAGCUUGUUGAGGAGGCUGUUGAGCGAGGUGUUCUGAAGACCCAGCUCCCGGUGCUCACUUACCAAGGCGGGUCGGCAGGAGCGGCUCGGGCGCUCCUCUGCGAUGACAGGGACCCCAAGUCUCCUCGAUUCGACCAUCUGGUGGCGAUAGAGCGCACAGGGAGGGCUGCCGACGGCAACUACUACAACGCCAGGAAAAUGAACAUCAAGCAUUUGGUCGACCCCAUCGACGAUCUUUUCCUUGCAGCGCAGAAGAUUCCUGGAAUCUCAUCAACUGGCAGCUGCCUCAUUGUGCACACAGCACUCAAACGAGAACCAAGACUCCCGCCUUCCCCUUACGACCCAAGUCCUGCCCUUGCCAGUGGCUCUGCUGGGUCAGGAAAACCAGGCCGUGGUCUGGCGUGAGGAGUGAACAGGAUGAAAUUCCCACAAUGCUAAAUAGCAGGCAGAAACGGACAAAACACCAAAGCUGGGCGUCGUCAUUAUUUUCCUCCAUUCGGUGCGCUGGCACGGACCUGGAAAACUGUUCUGAGAAAAAUCCUCCGGGCGUGGACCUAAGGAAGGUGGUCAUUCACAGCUGUCCGGUUCUUGUGGCCGAGCCCAGGUCCCUGAUGCUCGAGGUGGUCACCCCCACUUCCCCUGUCCACCACCUCACAGUGAAUGCUGACCUCUGGCCGAGCUUCCCUUGCAUCCCCCGCCGUUGCAGACACAGACGCAGGAACGGGCAGGCCGUCACGCGAGGCCUAAUGACGUCUCGGUCGGCAAAGCUGGUGGCCACCAUGCCGUGUGCGGCUGGCAGCGGCCUCGUGUUUACCUCGUCUCCUAACUGCAUGUUUGUCUCGUGCUUGAUUUAAUCUCGCGUUCUGUUCAUCACGACGCCUAAACAUACAAAAUCACUGCUAAUGUUGCCAGGAAGAGGCGAUGUUGAGUGGCUGCCCCAGAAAAGAAAUGAAGAUUAGGGACUAUGACGGGGGAAAUCACCGGUCAGACGCGCCCUAGUCCACCGCAGCGAGGAUCUGGAAGAACGAGAACCGAGUGGCAGAAGCUGCUGAAGGGUCUGCAUCAUUGAAGGCAAUGGGACUACAAGCAUUUGAGAAGGGCCCAUAUCAGACGUGGAGAAAUGUCUCAUUACCUGGAUUGACGACCAGACACAGAAGCGUGCCCCUCUCAGCACUGUGAGGAUCACAGCCAGAAGGUCUGAGCCGGCAGGAGAUCACAUCCACAACGCAAGGCCCACACACAGCAAAACGAUUGUAUUGCAUGCUGCGGGGUGCAGGCGGGCUGAGCUGAAAGGGGUCAGCCUCGAACAACAGUUGGGAUAUAGGUUAUAUACUCUACUUCUAGCUUCCAGCAGCUCCUGCUGACGUAGUCUGCCUGGUCCGUUGUCCACUUUGCAGUUGGACUGGUCUGGUAUCACAUCUUGCAUCUGCCGGGUGAUUCAUUGCCUUGCGGAUAAUCCAGAUAGUCUGUACUCAACAGAAGGCUGAGCAAAGGUCAUGCAAGCAACACAUUUUUCACAGUUUCCACCUUUUGCAAGCUUUUACCUUUACCCUUGAAAACGUCACUAACCCUUUCGACAACCAAAGCAAAACAUCUGUGGGCGAUGUUGAAAGAAAAGGCUGGACCGGACGAUGAUGAACUGACUGUCAGCUCUGGGUGAUUUAAACAGCUCAAGAGCCGUUAUUCAUUCCAUGAUCCGAACAUGAGGGGUGAGUCUGCCGGGGCUGAGGCGAAGGCAGCUGGAGGGUUUCUGGAGACUAGAUAAGCUGACUGUGGAGGAAUACUCGCCAGAACAAAUUUCAGUAUGGAUGAAACCUCCCCGUUCUGGAAACAGAUGCCGGAAAAGUCUUUCCUCCAUAAGGAAAGACCAAGCCUCAAGGCUUCGAAGCACAGGAUCGAGGAGUUGUAGCAGCUUUUAAGGCCUCCUCCCUGAGGAGGACCUUUGCCCAGGCUGUUGCUGUAACCGAGGAGACGGCGAUGCAGUUCUGGAAGGGUCUCCUCACCUGUGACCGCACCGGGACAGUGCUUGGGCGAUGUCCCCGAGGAGUAUACGAAUGGCAUCUGGAAGAAGACACUGAACAGGGGUCGGUGACGGAGGCAAUGAGCUUGGCAUGGGCAAAGUCAAGGAGGCCGUGAAGAGCCACAUACGAAAUGGGGAUGUCAUCGCCUGUGACGUGGAGGCUGAC
RNA transcript from Molossus molossus (Pallas's mastiff bat), 3565 nucleotides. It is a transcript of the gene named D-glutamate cyclase, with no coding region annotated. NCBI's taxonomy places the organism in Eukaryota, Metazoa, Chordata, Mammalia, Chiroptera, Molossidae. The record is from RefSeq and is a predicted model, not a curated record. The transcript has 13 exons.